AGUGAACGCUGGCGGUAGGCCUAACACAUGCAAGUCGAACGGCAGCACAGUAAGAGCUUGCUCUUACGGGUGGCGAGUGGCGGACGGGUGAGGAAUACAUCGGAAUCUACUUUUUCGUGGGGGAUAACGUAGGGAAACUUACGCUAAUACCGCAUACGACCUACGGGUGAAAGCAGGGGAUCUUCGGACCUUGCGCGAUUGAAUGAGCCGAUGUCGGAUUAGCUAGUUGGCGGGGUAAAGGCCCACCAAGGCGACGAUCCGUAGCUGGUCUGAGAGGAUGAUCGCCAACAUGGAAAUUGAGAAAGGUCCCAGAAUCUUAGGGAGGCAAGAGGUGGGAAAAAUUGACAAUGGGCGCAAGCCUGAUCCAGCCAUACCGCGUGGGUGAAGAAGGCCUUCGGGUUGUAAAGCCCUUUUGUUGGGAAAGAAAAGCAGCAGGUUAAUACCCCGCUGUCCUGACGGUACCCAAAGAAUAAGCACCGGCUAACUUCGUG
RNAcentral lists this ribosomal RNA (491 nucleotides) under uncultured bacterium. RNAcentral's name for it is "partial 16S ribosomal RNA". It matches the Rfam family "Bacterial small subunit ribosomal RNA", at positions 29 to 507 of the family's 1533-position model. The record is from RNAcentral.